UACUGCACUAACGAGAUAGUAAAUAACAAUAAAUACUUUAGGGAAAGAGGAUUCGACUUUAUGAUCAGGCUUGAAGAAGGUAGGACCAGCAGUAAAGAAGCAUGAAUACAGCAAACUUUGGGAUCCUCGACGCAACGACAAUAAGGUUGGAGUUGGGCUUGAGCUCAUCAGGAACUCAGAGAAACAGAUGUACAUGUUA
Molecule: long non-coding RNA, 199 nt
Filed under: Nicotiana benthamiana
Lineage: Eukaryota; Viridiplantae; Streptophyta; Magnoliopsida; Solanales; Solanaceae
Description: long non-coding RNA (NBEN_LNC007718)
Source: RNAcentral